RNAcentral lists this long non-coding RNA (274 nucleotides) under Panax ginseng (ginseng). RNAcentral's name for it is "long non-coding RNA (PGIN_LNC011446)". Lineage: Eukaryota; Viridiplantae; Streptophyta; Magnoliopsida; Apiales; Araliaceae. The record is from RNAcentral.
UGGGAGUGUGGAGAGGCGAGGAUAUCAGUGACAAGCGAAAGGCGUGUAAUAUCAUCGAUCAUCACAGCCGGCAAGCCACCACCUCAAAGCCUCUCGAGCUCUACGUGGGAAGUCACACAUGUGGGCGUCGCUAUUUCAUUUGAUACAACGGGGGAAAUAGCGGACAAACACCCCCACGUGAAUCCACUACACGUGCGACGUUACUUACGCCUCUGCAAGAGAGGUGUUUGGUUUAGGGUUUAAAUGAAACCACGUGCUCCCUCCCUGCCCCCAC